RNAcentral lists this transfer RNA (71 nucleotides) under Heterosigma akashiwo. The record is from RNAcentral. Lineage: Eukaryota; Raphidophyceae; Chattonellales; Chattonellaceae.
CUCGCUGGCAUUGACCCGCCAACGCUUCGAGGUGGGCCAUGCCAGUGCGGUCGAACUGGCCCAGGCCCAGA